GGGGCUGCGGAGCGCCGAGCCUUCCCGAGAAGCGGGGACGAACAAGGGCCGGGAGGGACGGCGAGGGAGAGAAACGGCGGAAAAGUGCAGUGACAUCCAUCCAGCUGCUGAGGUAACUGCAAGGCCCUUCAUGCCAAUCAAGGCCUCAGCUCUGCAACUUUCUCUUCAGUCCAUAGUGAAUUGAGUGGGACAAAGGAGAUGGAGGGGGCAGCUCUACCUGCAAUGCCUGCAGGGUGAAGGGCACAUCCCCUGUGACACUGAGGGCCACCAAUGCCAUGGGACAGUGGAGGGAAGGCAUGCAAAACAGUCACGGAGAGGUGUACAUGAGAGAACAGGAAAUAUGCCUACCAGGAAUUUGGGACAGAAGAAAAUCUUCUGGAUCUGGACAACCCUAUGACAGGAUUGGUCUCUAGGACCUCACACCCACAGCUUUCAACCUACUUUGCAAAGCAUCAUCAAUAUUGCACUAGAAACAAAAUAAUGAUAAAAAUAAUUGGACAAGUUACAAGAAUCCUGUGCAGAGACUGGUAUCUGCAGUUGCUGCUUAUUGGUUUUCAAGCUUGAAAAUGAACCUGACUCUCCUUCACUGCUGUUUUAGAAGGCCAAGAAACUGGCUGGACCACAAGGAACAUGUUCCACCACCACUGCCAAUCCUGUUAGGGAGACGAAUAUGCCAAUGUGAGGGAGAGGAUGCCAGUAUGAGGCUGGGAGUGUGAGAAUCAGGUAAACAUAGGUUUUUAAAACUUUAAAGUAAAUAGCAUCUUCUUGCCUUAAAAAUUUGCAAUGAGCAAUUACUGAAGCACAAAUGAAGAGACUAUAAUGUAAGGCAUAAUGGUAAAAGUAUUGAAACAUAUUAAUUAGUAUUUCUAAGAAUAUACUUAAAGUACUGGUGAGCUUAUAAAAUAAUAGAAAAUUUCACAUUGGGGAAAGGAACCCUCUCACAAAAAUACCUUUAACUGGCCAUCGUUUCCCAUGCUCCUGUUUUCUCCAACUAAAGACACUUAUGUCCCUGUUAACUCUGCUGCCCACACAGUCCAGUCGUUCUUUUUCCUGAUCCUACAAUGAGGCAAUGACACUGUGCUCAUCAUCUAUCCUAUUACCAUGGAAAUGAUAGCAACGUCAUAAAUUCAGCAGUCUGAUUCCUUGACAGGGUUGAUUAGGAACAGAUUAUAAGCUGGAGAAAAGCUGAACCCUUGAUUAAACACAAAUAGCUCUUACAAUGAACAAAUACGGGAAUAAAAUAUAUUUGAAAUCGUGUAAAGAAUGGGUGUCUUCAUAUUCUAGAUUAGAAAUUGUUUUUGUAUUUCACUGAUUUUCUAGAAUUGUUUGAAUUUGUUUGCAAAGUUCCCUAAUUUAUUUUUAAAUCCCACAUAUAUAUGUAAUUAGUAAUCAUAUAUACUCCAGGAUUCACAGAAAAAUCAGUGUGGGUACAGCUUGUAAAAGGCUAGUUAGGACUUUUCAUUUCAUUCAUAAUAAAUGUAUUUAGUAUUACAAAUGCACUAUAGCUAAAUAUACCCAUCCACACAAAUACAGAUAAACCAUAUGCUUUUAUAAUUUUCAACCAGAUCUACUUGAAUUCAAAGGAUGUGUUAUUUAGGGGCUUUUCUGGUAAAUUCUGACCAUUCCCUUGAUAAAACCACCUCCCAUGAGGUGCUCUGUAUCUUGUCUGAGUCCCAGAAAACCAAUUCUCCCUAUUCCCAGUGAAGACCUUGGCUCAGUAGGAUACUGACACACUCCUCUCCCACUGCUUCAAUACCUUAAUGAAUGCGUCAAAGCUAGAUACUUUAUUGUCUUUUGAAUCAAGACCUGUAUUGAGCCCACAGCCACUAAAGAUAGAAAAGGACUAUUUGUAUCAUUCAAACUAUUAAUCCCUAAAGAAGUAUCUUAUAUGAAAAUAGAAAAGUGUUCCAAUACAGUUCAAUGUUUGAGAGGCUGUCUUUUCAUUUUAAAUUCUCACACUAAGCAUAAGCGCUAAAUCCUUAGUUCAUACUUUACUGGAGAUUUGACAACUCCGAUUUCAACCACAGCUUAUUUUACCAGUAAAAGUGUGCAGUAGGGUGUGCAUGCCCAUUCCAGGCCAUCUCUGUUCUCAGGCCUGCUGCAGUGUUUCUUCUACUUCAGACUAUUUACUCAAUGCCAUUAAUCAAAAUCCUAUAGCAGAAAAUGCAUGCAUAAGUCCUACACAUUUAUUGCCAUGGCAACAAUUCAGGCUCUUGUUCAUAUGUCAAGCUACAUCAGUGGAGAUAAAUUCUAUUGUUUUCACACUGACAGUUCUCUCUGUGUUGGGCUUAAUCCAUAGAAAAAUAUAGCUUUGCUCUUUUUAAAAUAAAACACAGACCACCCAAUGCUCCAAAUUCUCAUUCUUCAUAUCGUAUAACUGAACAAUCUGAAUAGUUAUAAAAAUAUAGUUUGCUCUUUAGGUUUAUGAUAGCAAUUAAAGUGUAAAAAAAUGGACCAGUCCUCAUGAUAUUUUUUUAGUCUGUGGGAUUGGUUAGGAAUUUAAUUCUUCAUGAAAAGAUGAGGUCUUUGCUGUGAAGCUAAAUAGCUAUGAUACCAGAGCACUGCGUUCUUGCAUUAGAUUGCAGUAUUUUAAAAUAAAUGCCUUUAAGCUUUGAGUGAAGUUGGUGUAAUUCAUUUUCCAACUUAGCUGUAGAUACUGUAUUUUUCAUAACACAAAAAUUAAUGAUUAAUGCAUAAUAUCCAGAGAAAUAUUUUUAUAUUUCGUUUAGCUCAUGACAAAAUACACUCUCGUGUGGGUGAUUCACAAGUGCGAAAGAUAAGCAUCAUUUUUUGUGAAUAAGCCUCUAUAUGUUUACUUGUAUAUACUGUAUUAUGAGUAAGUCUUAAUGCCUGACAUAAUUUUACAUUAUUUUACUGUGUACUAGACCACAGUUUUGAUUCCUAUUAUUUCCACAGACACCUCAUCUUUCUCAUUAUCACAGACUAACAAGAAAACGGUCUUUCAUUAAUAAAAUACUUUUAAUGCUU
Phalacrocorax carbo (great cormorant) is the source of this 2988-nucleotide non-coding RNA. Lineage: Eukaryota; Metazoa; Chordata; Aves; Suliformes; Phalacrocoracidae. The record is from RefSeq and is a predicted model, not a curated record.